This 805-nucleotide long non-coding RNA is filed under the name Homo sapiens (human). RNAcentral describes it as "HSALNT0311707". The record is from RNAcentral. Lineage: Eukaryota; Metazoa; Chordata; Mammalia; Primates; Hominidae.
ACGAGAGGAGCGGAGGCGAGGGGUGAACGCGGAGCACUCCAAUCGGUCAGUCAUUGUUUCUAUUGGCACAAUGGGAGGCCCCGCCCCUCACGGCGGACUCAUCGCAUGGGGGAGGGGGCUCCGCGGGUUGCCGGCUAACCGUGAGAGAGUCCGGGAGGUACACUAUACGGACCGGCCUCCAAAGGCGGAAUCGAUAACGAGCUGCAGCGCCGGGUGCAGAGGACGCGGGCAUCCCGAAGCCCAGGAAGAGGUCAGGGCCGGGACCCCAGAACGCUCCACAGGGUGCGGCUCCCGCGAUGGGGUGGAUCCUGGUUCUAACAGGCGAGGAACUCCUGGCCAAGGCCUCUGGCCCGCCCCGAACGGUCCCUAUGACAUCACCAUCAACCAAUCAGUCGGCGCAUCCUUUCGCCCCUUGACUGCUCCGCUUCCGGGAGGCGGGGCUUCUGCGGGUUCCACCUCCCGAGCGCCCCUUGUGGCUACCAAGAGACAGGGUCUCACCAUGUAGGCCAGAUUAGUCUUGAACUCCUGGGCUCAAGCAAUCCGCCCAUCUUGGCCUCCCAAAGUGCUGGGAUUAUAGGUGUGAGCCACCGCGCCCGGCAACCCAGAAGUGGUUUUGACAGCACCAGCGCUUUCUGUGUCCACAAUCUACUCCCAACUAGAGGUCCACCCAGGACCCAGAGACCUGGAUUUGAGGCUGCUGGGCGGCAGAUGGAGCGAUCAGAAGACCAGGAGACGGGAGCUGGAGUGCAGUGGCUGUUCACAAGCGUGAAAGCAAAGAUUAAAAAAUUUGUUUUUAUAUUAAAAA